Molecule: ribosomal RNA, 419 nt
Filed under: bacterium
Lineage: Bacteria
Description: partial 16S ribosomal RNA
Rfam family: Bacterial small subunit ribosomal RNA
Source: RNAcentral
UGGGGGAUAUUGCACAAUGGGCGAAAGCCUGAUGCAGCGACGCCGCGUGGGGGAUGAAGGCCUUCGGGUUGUAAACUUCUUUUGCUCUGAACAAGGCAUGCUAAUGGGUGUGUUGAGUGUAGGGGUUGAUUAGCGCCGGCUAACUACGUGCCAGCAGCCGCGGUAAUACGUAGGGCGCGAGCGUUGUCCGGAAUUAUUGGGCGUAAAGGGCUUGUAGGUGGCUGGUUGCGUCUGUCGUGAAAGCUCAUGGCUUAACUGUGGGUUUGCGGUGGGUACGGGCUGGCUUGAGUGCAGUAGGGGAGGCUGGAAUUCCUGGUGUAGCGGUGGAAUGUGCAGAUAUCAGGAGGAAUACCGGUGGCGAAGGCGGGGCUCUGGGCUGUUACUGACACUGAGGAGCGAAAGCAUGGGGAGCGAACAGG